Uloborus diversus is the source of this 424-nucleotide long non-coding RNA. RefSeq lists it as uncharacterized. The transcript is spliced from 3 exons. The record is from RefSeq and is a predicted model, not a curated record. NCBI's taxonomy places the organism in Eukaryota, Metazoa, Arthropoda, Arachnida, Araneae, Uloboridae.
CUUUUCAUCGGGUCUUUAAUCUUUGUUUUGUUCAAACAGUUUAUCAAAUUUAUAUUUGUGCUGCAUUUUUUUGUCAACUCGUGGUUUUCAAUACUUAUCAGAAGUGAGACCUUCGAUACGUUUGUAAAUGGGAAUGUUAUUGUCCUUGAAAUGAAGAAUGAAAAUGCGACAGAAAGAUAAAUUUUGUGGAUAAAAAUGGAAUAAUCUUCACACUAAAGAGUACCUGCUACAGGUUUCAAGUUUUGCCUAAAUUGGAAUUUCGACGUUUUGCUUUAGAAGAUAUUGUGUUUCAGGUAUGUUGCAAAAUUGUUUUUUAAACAAAUGUAUUGCACUAGAAAUAUAUUGCCGUGGAAGAUGUGGUUUUACAUAGGUGAUUUAUUCUGUAAAAAGUACCCUUUAUCUCUGCACUUAGCAAACAUACUUA